UACGUAGGGUGCAAGCGUUAAUCGGAAUUACUGGGCGUAAAGCGUGCGCAGGCGGCUUUGCAAGACAGAUGUGAAAUCCCCGGGCUUAACCUGGGAACUGCAUUUGUGACUGCAUGGCUGGAGUGCGGCAGAGGGGGAUGGAAUUCCGCGUGUAGCAGUGAAAUGCGUAGAUAUCAGGAGGAACACCGAUGGCGAAGGCAGGUCUCUGGGCUGACACUGACGCUCAUGCACGAAAGCGUGGGGAGCAAACAGG
RNAcentral lists this ribosomal RNA (253 nucleotides) under uncultured bacterium. RNAcentral describes it as "partial 16S ribosomal RNA". It matches the Rfam family "Bacterial small subunit ribosomal RNA", at positions 524 to 776 of the family's 1533-position model. The record is from RNAcentral.